Long non-coding RNA from Suncus etruscus (white-toothed pygmy shrew), 150 nucleotides. RefSeq lists it as uncharacterized. Lineage: Eukaryota; Metazoa; Chordata; Mammalia; Eulipotyphla; Soricidae. The record is from RefSeq and is a predicted model, not a curated record. The transcript has 3 exons.
AAGAACUAAUACAUUGAUUACCACACAGAUUGGAAAUGUUUGCAAAGUAAAUAAUCUUCUUUAUACAUUAAAACAGAGGAAGUGUCUCUAGAGAUGAUGAUGACAUGUUUUAUUGUCUUUCAUUUUGAGUAGGAUGUGAUGGCAUAGAGA